This 73-nucleotide transfer RNA is filed under the name Kordiimonadales bacterium. RNAcentral describes it as "tRNA-Asn". It matches the Rfam family "tRNA". From Rfam's summary of the family: Transfer RNA (tRNA) molecules are approximately 80 nucleotides in length. The record is from RNAcentral. Lineage: Bacteria; Pseudomonadati; Pseudomonadota; Alphaproteobacteria; Kordiimonadales.
UCUCUGAUAGCUUAAUUGGUAGAGCAUUUGGCUGUUAACCAUUAUGUUGAGGGUUCAAGUCCCUCUUAGAGAU